CCUACGGGUGGCAGCAGUCGAGAAUCAUUCACAAUGGGGGAAACCCUGAUGGUGCGACGCCGCGUGGGGGAAUGAAGGUCUUCGGAUUGUAAACCCCUUUCAUGUGGGAGCAAAUUAAAAAGUUAGUCCCACAAGAAGAAGAGACGGCUAACUCGGUGCCAGCAGCCGCGGUAAUACAGCGGUCUCAAGCGUUGUUCGGAAUCACUGGGCGUAAGGCGUGCGUAGGCUGUUUCGUAAGUCGUGUGUGAAAGGCGCGGGCUCAACCCGAGGACGGCACAUGAUACUGCAAGAAUAGAGGAAGGGAGGGGUAAGCGGAAUUCUCGGUGGAGCAGUAAAAUGCGUAGAGAUCGAGAGGAACACUCGUGGCGAAGGCGGGUUCCUGGACAUUAACUGACGCUGAGGCACGAAGGCCAGGGGAGCGAAAGGGAUUAGAUACCCGGGUAGUC
This 446-nucleotide ribosomal RNA is filed under the name uncultured bacterium. RNAcentral's name for it is "partial 16S ribosomal RNA". It matches the Rfam family "Bacterial small subunit ribosomal RNA", at positions 338 to 795 of the family's 1533-position model. The record is from RNAcentral.